RNAcentral lists this ribosomal RNA (253 nucleotides) under uncultured bacterium. RNAcentral's name for it is "partial 16S ribosomal RNA". It matches the Rfam family "Bacterial small subunit ribosomal RNA", at positions 524 to 776 of the family's 1533-position model. The record is from RNAcentral.
UACGUAGGGUGCGAGCGUUGUCCGGAAUUAUUGGGCGUAAAGGGCUCGUAGGCGGUUUGUCGCGUCGGGAGUGAAAUCCACUGGCUUAACUGGUGGCUUGCUUUCGAUACGGGCAGACUGGAGGUAUGCAGGGGAGAACGGAAUUCCUGGUGUAGCGGUGAAAUGCGCAGAUAUCAGGAGGAACACCGGUGGCGAAGGCGGGUCUCUGGGCAAUAACUGACGCUGAGGAGCGAAAGCGUGGGGAGCGAACAGG